Molecule: non-coding RNA, 29 nt
Filed under: Homo sapiens (human)
Lineage: Eukaryota; Metazoa; Chordata; Mammalia; Primates; Hominidae
Source: RNAcentral
GGAAACAUAUAGUAAAACCAGGCUCCACA